RNAcentral lists this ribosomal RNA (131 nucleotides) under Danio rerio (zebrafish). Lineage: Eukaryota; Metazoa; Chordata; Actinopteri; Cypriniformes; Danionidae. The record is from RNAcentral.
UUUAUCCAGCACACUCUCUUUAAACCCUUCCAUUACACACUGCUCUGACAGAUUGGCCACUGAAGCAAAGCAGGCUUGGGUCUGGUCAGUACCUGGACAGGAGACCUCCAGGGAAAAUGAGGUGGAAAAAG